CACCACUACUGGACUUUAUUUCAGACCUUCAGCUGCAUGACAUAGCCUAGAGUCAUAAAGGCUAAUCUGACCAAUCAGAUGACUCUCAAUGAUGACACAGUGGAGCAUCAGGCGUUGCCAUGGAAAUGCUGCCCGGUUACAAUCAAACAGGGCAUCACCCUUAAGGCAGCUUUGAGGUGGGGUAGUGCUAUUAGGACUUAGCCAUAAAGCCAGGCUAGUGGCUGAACAUCUUCCCUUCAUCUUCAACUCAAGAGUGACCUCUAGAUAAGGAGGGCUGUCCAUCUUCAAAUUCUGCAUUAUCCUUGAGGGAACGAAAUAACAUAUCCAAAAAGUCUACCUCAGACAGGAACUGAAGAACUAUCCCAGAUCAAUCAAUUUAGAAAUGCCAGAAAGAUUGUUGUUGAGCUCUGCACAAAGCUGAAAUAAUGCUGUGUGUUAAAAAAUGUGAAGAAUUUGAAAAAGUUAUAAAAAUUUAUAAGUUGGCUCGA
This is a long non-coding RNA of Podarcis raffonei (Aeolian wall lizard), 488 nucleotides long. RefSeq lists it as uncharacterized. NCBI's taxonomy places the organism in Eukaryota, Metazoa, Chordata, Lepidosauria, Squamata, Lacertidae. The transcript has 2 exons. The record is from RefSeq and is a predicted model, not a curated record.